GACAGCAGCUAGCUCUCUGCAACUCUCACAUGGUUGCCCACAGAAGCAGGGCUGUGCCCAGUCAGUACCUGGAUGGGAGACCACAUGGGAAAGCUAGGUUGCUGCUGGAA
This 110-nucleotide ribosomal RNA is filed under the name Danio rerio (zebrafish). Lineage: Eukaryota; Metazoa; Chordata; Actinopteri; Cypriniformes; Danionidae. The record is from RNAcentral.